AUGGCUUCUUCGUAUGGCGUUGAUUCCUUGCUUGGUCCGAUCUUCGCCGCCACCGCAGCUACUUCACCUCGCUCGUCCACAAACCCAACUUCUCAGAUCGGUGCCCUCGUCACCACCGCCACGCGGUCAGUGUCACCAUCGUCUUCUCAGUUCAACAAACUAAAUGAGAUGUGUGAUGCAGUGGGCAAGGUCCAGAAGGCAGUCGCUGAUUUGGGACAUCAGCUAUCUGCGUUGUCUCAAGUUCUUCUUGCUGCAGCAGCCCCCAUCGCCACCGCCACCGCCACCUCCCAUGCCACCGCCGUGGUCGCCACGCCUACAAGCAGGUUUCCCGUUGCAGCAACUGGCACCACCUCAGCAUUGGCGCCCACUAGGCGUUCGACUGAAUGCUCGAGUAGUGUUUUGACCUCCAUCACUGCGCAUCCGAGCGGAACGCCUCCUGCAGUCACCACCAUCUCCACCACCUCUGUUGCCUGCGUCAUCACCGCGCCUCCAACCGGACCCCCUGCGGCAGUCACCACUGCUACUGCUUACCGCGUCAUCAGGAUGCACUGGAGUGACCUUCGUGUGGUGAAUGACAUCCCCAGUGAAGUGUCUCUUUCAUGUACACAAGCUUCAAAAAUGUUGCCCACCAACUGUUUGACUGAAUGCCUGAGCGACAUUAUGUAUCUGAAGGAGGCAAGGUUAACAACCAAAACGGCUCACCUAUCUCCGCCAGCGACAUUGGUCAUGCCUGUCAUCUCUGUGCGUACAUCAACCAACAUCAACACCACCAGAACCGUUGGCGUUGGAUGCCCAGGACUCCAUCUGCAUUCCCAGGUCAGCGGCGCUCAAAGCCACUGUCACUGUCGUUCCAAUACAGUCCAUGGUGACAAGUGCCUUCAUAGAAAAAUGCCUCGACAAGGACAGCCCAGAGAGGGACAUGUCUUUUGUGGCGCUACUAUCAUGGUUUUCUAUCAGCCCUGUGUGCCAGGUGUUUGUCGUUGGUUUCCUUCCUGCAGAGAUACGACCACCAUGGCGACCACCUCUGGUCUGUAG
RNAcentral lists this ribosomal RNA (1035 nucleotides) under Triticum aestivum (bread wheat). Its description in RNAcentral is "partial small subunit ribosomal RNA". The record is from RNAcentral. Lineage: Eukaryota; Viridiplantae; Streptophyta; Magnoliopsida; Poales; Poaceae.